GCUCCUACGAUCCCGGCACGACCAGGGCUCGGUCAAAAUUUGUCCGUCGUUAGCACGGUAAGGCGAAUCUUGUGAAGCAAAAUUCUGGUCCCCAAUCUUCUUUUUUAGUUGUGAAACGUGAAAAAUGGGAUGAAUCUUGGAUCCUUGUGGCAGCUUGAGCUCAUAAGCAACUGAACCAAUUUUCCGAACAACCUGGUACGGUCCGAAGAACCUUGCAAAAAACUUCAAGUUUCGGCGUAAUGCGACAGAGCUCUGGCGGUUAUCUUUUAGCACUUUAUCCAUCAAUUGUCGGUCUCGAGCAAGCCCGAUCCCCGUUGUGUCUAGCUUGGUCUGGGCAUCUAAUUCAAAGGUUGGCUGAGGAGGAUCAUAACCGUAAAGAGCUUUGAAUGGUGACAUGCCCAAAUAGCUGUGGAAGUUCGAGUUAUACCAAAAUUCAGCCUGUGCCAACCAUUUACUCCAUUCUGCUAGUUUAUGGCCCGUCAUGCAUCUGAGGCCACUGAUGAAAUCCAUAGCCACAUGUUCCCAAGCUCGAGUUGGAAUUGGUAAUUGUUGCAAUAAUCCUGGGUAAGAAAUAUUUUCAUCUUUGUUUCGCUGGCAUAUUUCACACUCCCUAAUCUGUUUUUUCACAUUUUGUAACAAAUUGGGUCAGUAGAAAAUGUUUCUGACUCUCUGUUGAGUAGCUAACA
Long non-coding RNA from Lycium ferocissimum, 686 nucleotides. RefSeq lists it as uncharacterized. NCBI's taxonomy places the organism in Eukaryota, Viridiplantae, Streptophyta, Magnoliopsida, Solanales, Solanaceae. The transcript has 3 exons. The record is from RefSeq and is a predicted model, not a curated record.